This 545-nucleotide ribosomal RNA is filed under the name uncultured Acidiphilium sp. RNAcentral's name for it is "bacterial SSU rRNA". It matches the Rfam family "Bacterial small subunit ribosomal RNA", at positions 28 to 628 of the family's 1533-position model. The record is from RNAcentral. Lineage: Bacteria; Pseudomonadati; Pseudomonadota; Alphaproteobacteria; Acetobacterales; Acidocellaceae.
CCCGAACGUGGCGGCAUGCUUACACAUGCAGUCGCACGGGCAGGCACCNUGUCAGUGCGGACGGGUAGUACGCGUAUCUAUCUUGGUGGGGGACAACCGUGGGAAACUACGGCUAAUACCGCAUGAUCCCUGAGGGGCAAAGGCGAAAGUCGCCUGAGGAGGAGCCUGCGUCUGAUUAGGUAGUUGGUGGGGUAAAGGCCUACCAAGCCUUCGAUCAGUAGCUGGUCUGAGAGGAUGAUCAGCCACACUGGGACUGAGACACGGCCCAGACUCCUACGGGAGGCAGCAGUGGGGAAUAUUGGACAAUGGGCGAAAGCCUGAUCCAGCAAUGCCGCGUGGAUGAAGAAGGUCUUCGGAUUGUAAAGUCCUUUUGGCGGGGACGAUGAUGACGGUACCCGCAGAAUAAGCUCCGGCUAACUUCGUGCCAGCAGCCGCGGUAAUACGAAGGGGGCUAGCGUUGCUCGGAAUGACUGGGCGUAGAGGGCGCGUAGGCAGACGGCACAGUCAGGCGUGAAAUUCCUGCGCUCAACCUGGGGACUGCGUCU